Molecule: long non-coding RNA, 1346 nt
Organism: Ananas comosus (pineapple)
Lineage: Eukaryota; Viridiplantae; Streptophyta; Magnoliopsida; Poales; Bromeliaceae
Exons: 2
Source: RefSeq, a predicted model, not a curated record
UUGUCACCCACAACCCAUUUCCCUUGUGCCCCAAAACCCUCUCUCUCUCUCUCUCUCUCUCUCUCCCCCUCUCUCUCUCUCUCAGAAGCUCGUUGACCUCUCCGCCAUGCUCCACCAUGGAUUCCUCCCCACGCUUAGGGUUUCACUCUCCUUCUCCUCGCCACCACCUCCUCCCUCUCCAGCCGCCCCCGCGAGCCACCCCUUCCCGGAGCACUCCUCCCUCUUCAAGAUGAUCGCACGCUCGGAACAAAUUGAGAGAAGUUUUUUUUUUUUGGUGGGCGAGGCGUCUGGAAGCGGAUGAUCUUCUUCUUCUUUUUUUCCGAGCGCGAGAUUUUUUUUUUUCCCGAUCGUGCGUGCCGCGUGCGCGGGUUGCCUCCCGUUUUUUUGGGUGAAUAAUUUGGGGAUCGCGAAUUAUUCGCGAAUAACAGCCUCCAACUCAAAAAACGCGAAUUAUUUCGAAUUUUUGAAAAAAAUACGUAUUCAGACUAUUUUAUUCGCUAUUCAAAAAUUCGCGAAUAAUUCGUGAAUAAUUCGCGAAUUAACUAACAAAGAUUCAUACUAGAUAGAGCAUAUGUGAAUUUUAGAAUGCUUAAAAUGUAUAUGUUAUGUAUUAUGAAAUUUUACCUCUAUGUAGUAGAGAGAUUAGUACAUAGUAAUCACGCAAAUGAAUGGCAUUUUUGUAUGUGACUUGAAAUUAGGUUUCAUGUAGUACUGAAAAUGACAAGAAUAACAUGCUCUUGGACAUAGAACUCAUGCUUGACAUAGUGGACAUAAAUGUCAUAAAGAGGUAUUCAACUUAGUAAAUGGUUAAACUCUUACUUGAUGACAUAAUGAUAGGCUAUUGGGUCAUUAGCUUUUAUUCUAUAUUUUAGACAUGAUGACAUUGGACUUGAGACGGAUGACUACGCUUACUUGCCAUUGUGCUCAUUUGUACAUAUUUGUGAGGGUCGCUCCUCACAAGCCGGCACUCCGGAGAUAGCCAACGCGACAUAAGCUUGCCCAUGCGGGAUUGGGCGCCGAAAUGGGAUGCUGUCGAGGAGGCUCAUUCGUAGGAUGGGAAUGUUGACUAUCAUGGGGCCAUUAGGCACGGCGCAAGCCGGACUACCCUUGUGUAGAGCCUUCCACUCCGGGAGAGGUUAGGGACUACGGCAAGGGUUUUGCCUUUAGCUAGUUGCGAGAAGCUUUGCUAUUAGGUGGUUUAUCUUUUCUUUUUGUAUUAUUUGGAGAGAGUGGAAGCUUUUGUACCUAUGGGUAGAGACCACCAUUUUUGUAUAUCUAGCUCUUGUAUUUGGAAUUUAUGAUGUAUUACUUUAUGGUUUACGUUAGUGAAUUAGUUCUUUUAUAUA